AGACUUAAAUACUUAUAACUCUUAACUGACAUUUGUUUGUAUCUCUACUAUGAGCAGAGGAGUUAUGUGUGGGAAGGACAGUAUUUUAUUCAUUUUUAUAUGUCCCUUUCUUAAAAUGUCAUCUAGCCAUGUGGGAAAUAAUGGUCCUCAACAGAUGCUACCUGUUCAUUAUUGCUGGGGUAAUAACCAUCACUGAGCAGGGAAUCCUGCUUUCUUUGACAUCUGGCCAACUAUUCUCUUUUCCAGACCAUGUGGUUUUGAUGCCUGGUGCACAACUUAGGCCUUUCUACUUCUUAUCUUGUCGGCUACCUUUAAUUCACUAUGUUUAACUUCUGUUUCAUUCUCCAUGAAUGUGUGCAUUGCCCCCUUGUGUUUCCUUUUGUCAAGCUCCUCAAGAGCCCCUGAUCUGGCAUUUCUCCCCCUCCUGUGAGGCUUUGCUGCCCUCUAGGGGGCCUUGUAUCAUAUACAUCUCAGACCCAGGGGACCUGCACUUGUCAGCACAGUCCUGGUAGCCGUGUCACUCCCCAGCCAAAUGCUAGGAAUCUUUAACCUAUUCCUAUAUGCCCCAGUUUAGAAACCUGUGGUCGUAUAGCCUAUUCAGUUCAGGAACACAAACCAAGCAUAAGCAAGUAAGUGGGGUGCCAAGAACUGCCCAUUACAAAUAAAGGUUUGUUGGAGGCUUGCAUGGGGUUUCAGUGCUCUUGGUACCAACAGUGUCCCUGGCUAUGAGUGUCCCACCUGCAUCCUGGUAUCUUGAAUAUGAUAACAAAGUUUAUGCAAUGGAAUCCAUCAAUGAGAGUGCUAUAAAUUACCAAUGAAUGCUGAUUUCCAUCCUUGCUUGGUCCAGGGAGACAAAGAACUUCCUCAAAGAGAUGGAGCCUGCCAAGCACAUAUACCUGUAAUAUCUGUAGCUGAGGAGGCUGAGGUAGGAGGACUUCAAGUUCAAAGCCAUCCUCAGCAAUGGUGAAGCACUAAGCAACUCAGUGAGACCCUAUCUCUAAAUAAAAUACAAAAUAGGGCUGGGGAUGUGGCUCAGCGGUCAACUGCCCCUGAGUUCAAUCCCUGGUAGUCCCCAAAAAGAAAAGAGAUGGAACCUGUGAGCACUUUUCAUUAAUUCCCAGAAAAAAUUGGUUGCAUGCCUGAUGUUGACUCUUAACCAUUCUCCUUGGCAUCUCUGUAACUGUUGGCCACUCCCUUCAUUUUUGAAGUAUUCUUUUUUUCCUUCAAUAUUACCAUUGAUCAUCUGGGUCUCAGGUGACUCAGGUGAUACUAACCUAAAAAUUCUUUGUCCAGCUCUCAGAUUUUAUUUACCUCGUCUCUGGGCUCUUUCCACGAUUCUCCUAAAUUGUGCUUCAAAUCCCAAAGUCUAAUUUUUCAAAGGUUUCCUAGCAGCUUCUUGGAUUUUUCCACUUAGAUGACUCUCAGAAGUCUGGAAUUUAACAAUUCCCAAACCAAAUACAUCUUUCUUCAAACCUGUUCUCUUUUAUUCUUACCACCCCAUCUCAAUUUUUUUCUCAUUGAAUCAUAUCAUCAUCGAAUACAGAUGCUCCCCUAAUUCUACCCUUUUCAUUUUAGACUUCAGUCAGGACUUCUCCAAGCUCAUAGGACAAAUUAUUUCAAACUGAAUUCUUCAAAUUUAAUUAUUGAUUAUCCCCUUAAAAUAUCUCCUUCCCAAGACUGAAUUGCACUGGUUCAAAUACUAUUAAAU
RNAcentral lists this long non-coding RNA (1708 nucleotides) under Marmota monax (woodchuck). Lineage: Eukaryota; Metazoa; Chordata; Mammalia; Rodentia; Sciuridae. The record is from RNAcentral.